CGGAACGUACCCAGUAGCGGGGGAUAACUACUCGAAAGAGUAGCUAAUACCGCAUACGCCCUUCGGGGGAAAGGGGGGGAUCUUCGGACCUCCCACUAUUGGAGCGGCUGAUAUCGGAUUAGCUAGUUGGUGAGGUAAAGGCUCACCAAGGCGACGAUCCGUAGCUGGUUUGAGAGGACGACCAGCCACACUGGAACUGAGACACGGUCCAGACUCCUACGGGAGGCAGCAGUGGGGAAUUUUGGACAAUGGGGGAAACCCUGAUCCAGCCAUUCCGCGUGUGUGAAGAAGGCCUUCGGGUUAUAAAGCACUUUUGGCGGGAAAGAAACGGCGUCGACUAAUACUCGGCGUAACUGACGGUACCCGCAGAAUAAGCACCGGCUAACUACGUGCCAGCAGCCGCGGUAAUACGUAGGGUGCAAGCGUUAAUCGGAAUUACUGGGCGUAAAGCGUGCGCAGGCGGUUCGGAAAGAAAGAUGUGAAAUCCCAGGGCUCAACCUUGGAACUGCAUUUUUAACUACCGGACUAGAGUAUGUCAGAGGGGGGUGGAAUUCCACGU
RNAcentral lists this ribosomal RNA (559 nucleotides) under uncultured bacterium. RNAcentral describes it as "bacterial SSU rRNA". It matches the Rfam family "Bacterial small subunit ribosomal RNA", at positions 119 to 674 of the family's 1533-position model. The record is from RNAcentral.